CAGUCGCCGCGGUAACACGGAGGAUCCAAGCGUUAUCCGGAUUUAUUGGGUUUAAAGGGUGCGUAGGUGGCCUGUUAAGUCAGGGGUGAAAGACGGUAGCUUAACUAUCGCAGUGCCCUUGAUACUGAUGGGCUUGAAUGAACUAGAGGUAGGCGGAGUGUGACAAGUAGCGGUGAAAUGCAUAGAUAUGUCACAGAACACCGAUUGCGAAGGCAGCUUACUAUGGUUUUAUUGACACUGAGGCACGAAAGCGUGGGGAUCAAACAGGAUUAGAUACCCGUGUAGUCCCUGUCUCUUAUAC
This 301-nucleotide ribosomal RNA is filed under the name uncultured bacterium. RNAcentral describes it as "partial 16S ribosomal RNA". It matches the Rfam family "Bacterial small subunit ribosomal RNA", at positions 509 to 807 of the family's 1533-position model. The record is from RNAcentral.